UAUAUUGAUCUUGUGACACCCACCUAGCUUCUCUGGAACUGAGUCAUCCUCUUCAGUUCUCUGGAAUAAUAACAUUUACCUGGAAUGGAUUGGGCUGAGAACUUCCCACCCUUCCUCUCUCUGUAAGAUCUACCCUAUAAAAGCAGAGCCAUCUCUCCACUCUGCACUAGAACACCUGAUUACUACAACCUUCAAGCGCGCCACCGCACCGAGGAAGAACACACACACAGUUGCAGCAAUGGAUUGUGCUUCAACUGAUGUCCCUUCACAUACCAAUAGUCAAAGCGUCUGCAAAAAAAAACAAUGUGUUGCCAAAUGUCCUACUGAAUCAGGCCAAAACAUAUCAGGCCAAAACGUAUCAGGCCAAAACGUAUCAGGCCAAAACGUAUCAGGCAAUGUGAGCGGAAACAUUUCCAUUGGCAACCAGGGCAAAACCACCAGUCAUACUGCUUAACAAACAACUCCCAGAAAAGCUGUCGGACCCAUCAUCACCAUAGCCAACAUAACAGGUGGCAAAGUGGGUCUCUACUACAAGGAAGAGAAGAUGGCUCUCUGUGACCUCAUCGAGGGUAGUCAACUCAGGAAGGGCCACUCCAUUCUCAUCCUGGAAAACACCUUUAAGAAGACCCCUCUUCCUCCUCUAUGCCACUGGCUUCCAAGUAGAAAGUGACAAUACACACAGAUUAAACUACAUUCACAUUAUUGUUAAAAAAUAAAGACAGAAUAUAUCCCAGAUAGGUGAAAAAGUGCUACAAGAUAUACUUUGAUUGUAUGGUCAGCAAUGUAAUCAAUGUAGGUUUUUGAUAAAUAAAUGUUACCAAACUGAGAA
Long non-coding RNA from Salvelinus fontinalis (brook trout), 829 nucleotides. RefSeq lists it as uncharacterized. The transcript has 3 exons. Lineage: Eukaryota; Metazoa; Chordata; Actinopteri; Salmoniformes; Salmonidae. The record is from RefSeq and is a predicted model, not a curated record.